RNAcentral lists this ribosomal RNA (253 nucleotides) under uncultured bacterium. RNAcentral describes it as "partial 16S ribosomal RNA". It matches the Rfam family "Bacterial small subunit ribosomal RNA", at positions 524 to 776 of the family's 1533-position model. The record is from RNAcentral.
UACGUAGGGUGCGAGCGUUAAUCGGAAUUACUGGGCGUAAAGCGUGCGCAGGUGGUUCGCUAAGACAGAUGUGAAAUCCCCGGGCUUAACCUGGGAACUGCGUUUGUGACUGGCGGGCUAGAGUGCGGAAGAGGGAGGUGGAAUUCCACGUGUAGCAGUGAAAUGCGUAGAGAUGUGGAGGAACACCGAUGGCGAAGGCAGCCUCCUGGUCUAGCACUGACGCUCAUGAACGAAAGCGUGGGGAGCAAACAGG